RNAcentral lists this ribosomal RNA (253 nucleotides) under uncultured bacterium. Its description in RNAcentral is "partial 16S ribosomal RNA". It matches the Rfam family "Bacterial small subunit ribosomal RNA", at positions 524 to 776 of the family's 1533-position model. The record is from RNAcentral.
UACGUAGGGGGCAAGCGUUGUCCGGAAUUACUGGGCGUAAAGAGCUCGUAGGUGGUUUGUCGCGUUGUUCGUGAAAACUCACAGCUUAACUGUGGGCGUGCGGGCGAUACGGGCAGACUGGAGUACUGCAGGGGAGACUGGAAUUCCUGGUGUAGCGGUGAAAUGCGCAGAUAUCAGGAGGAACACCGGUGGCGAAGGCGGGUCUCUGGGCCGUAACUGACGCUGAGGAGCGAAAGCGUGGGGAGCGAACAGG